GCCUGGGUGGCUCAGUCGGUUGAGCGUCCGACUUCAGCUCAGGUCAUGAUCUCGCAUUUUGUGGGUUUGAGCCCCACAUCGGGCU
Molecule: transfer RNA, 85 nt
Filed under: Felis catus (domestic cat)
Lineage: Eukaryota; Metazoa; Chordata; Mammalia; Carnivora; Felidae
Rfam family: tRNA
About the family: Transfer RNA (tRNA) molecules are approximately 80 nucleotides in length. Their secondary structure includes four short double-helical elements and three loops (D, anti-codon, and T loops). Further hydrogen bonds mediate the characteristic L-shaped molecular structure. tRNAs have two regions of fundamental functional importance: the anti-codon, which is responsible for specific mRNA codon recognition, and the 3' end, to which the tRNAs corresponding amino acid is attached (by aminoacyl-tRNA synthetases). tRNAs cope with the degeneracy of the genetic code in two manners: having more than one tRNA (with a specific anti-codon) for a particular amino acid; and 'wobble' base-pairing, i.e. permitting non-standard base-pairing at the 3rd anti-codon position.
Source: Rfam by way of RNAcentral